Molecule: long non-coding RNA, 266 nt
Filed under: Vigna radiata
Lineage: Eukaryota; Viridiplantae; Streptophyta; Magnoliopsida; Fabales; Fabaceae
Description: long non-coding RNA (VRAD_LNC002481)
Source: RNAcentral
UUGGGAUCAUUUUAUAUUUUUUUUUUCUAGAUAGACAAGAUUAUGUAUUUUAAAAAUACUUUGUAUACAUUAACUACAUAAAUGGGUUGGAUCACCUAAAAAAUUACGAAUGAGAUGGUGAGAAACUUUAUCAAGAAUGACAUUUAAAAAUCUUAUAUUGGCUAAAGAUUUUGUAAAAUUAUAAUAUAAUAAACUUAUCUUAUAAUUUGAUUUUAUAAAGUUAAGUUAAAUAUGAAUUCAUUUACAGAAAUGGUAUAGGAAUUAUA